RNAcentral lists this long non-coding RNA (418 nucleotides) under Malus domestica (apple). Its description in RNAcentral is "long non-coding RNA (MDOM_LNC003283)". The record is from RNAcentral. Lineage: Eukaryota; Viridiplantae; Streptophyta; Magnoliopsida; Rosales; Rosaceae.
AGAAUAAAAUGCAAUCCCGGUUUAUCGAGCCUGAGAAGACGGUUCAAAAGGAAGUUGAGUUGAACUCCAUACCCUCAGUUCAUCCACAGAAAAACCUGCAAUCCUGGUCUAUCAAGCCUGAGAAGAAGGUUCAAAAGGCAGUUGAGUUGAACUCUAUACCCUCAGUUAAUCCACAGAAUAAACUGCAAUCCCGGUUUAUCGAGUCUGAGAAGGAGGUUCAAAAGGAAGUUGAGUUGAACUCCAUACCCUCAGUUCAUCCACAGAAAAACCUGCAAUCCCGGUUUAUCAAGCCUGAGAAGAAGGUUCAAAAGGCAGCUGAGUCGAACUCUAUACACUCAGUUAAUCCACAGAAAAAACUGCAAUCCCGGUUUGUUGAGCCUGAGAAGAAGGUUCAAAAGGAAGUUGAGUUGAACUCUAU